GGAUGUCCGGACUAUCUCAGCUGA
RNAcentral lists this non-coding RNA (24 nucleotides) under Mus musculus (house mouse). Lineage: Eukaryota; Metazoa; Chordata; Mammalia; Rodentia; Muridae. The record is from RNAcentral.